AUUGAACGCUGGCGGCAGGCCUAACACAUGCAAGUCGAGCGCUUCCAGCUUGCUGGAGGAGCGGCGAACGGGUGAGUAACGCGUAGGAAUCUGCCUGGUAGUGGGGGACAACGUCUCGAAAGGGACGCUAAUACCGCAUACGCCCUACGGGGGAAAGGGGGGAGUCUUCGGACCUCUCGCUAUCAGAUGAGCCUGCGUCGGAUUAGCUAGUUGGUGGGGUAAAGGCCCACCAAGGCGACGAUCCGUAGCUGGUCUGAGAGGAUGAUCAGC
RNAcentral lists this ribosomal RNA (270 nucleotides) under uncultured bacterium. Its description in RNAcentral is "partial 16S ribosomal RNA". It matches the Rfam family "Bacterial small subunit ribosomal RNA", at positions 30 to 308 of the family's 1533-position model. The record is from RNAcentral.